Long non-coding RNA from Micropterus salmoides (largemouth bass), 995 nucleotides. RefSeq lists it as uncharacterized. Lineage: Eukaryota; Metazoa; Chordata; Actinopteri; Centrarchiformes; Centrarchidae. The record is from RefSeq and is a predicted model, not a curated record. The transcript is spliced from 2 exons.
UAUCAGAUUAUCUUAUAUGAGGACUGAGAUUUUCAUUCAUCUCAGAGACAGCAUGCGGAUGAACAACAUAAUUUGAGAGACAUUAACAUCUCACAGUGCAGCUAAAUAAGCAGAAGGUACUUUAAACCAAAGGCCAUUUUCAAAUUAGCAUUGAUUUUAGUACACAAUGGGCUUAAAAUCAGUCAAUAAUGUGUGAAAACAGAUCUGGUGUGUCAUAUGCAUGUGAUUAACAUGCAGUUAAAGCAUGCCCAUGAUUGUGAGCUUCCUUGUUCACUGAUGAAUUUCAGUUUUGCCAUUUCCUGUUAGUCCUAAACACACACAGAUUUUGCAGAACAUCUGCAUGAUAUUCUGCAAUGUAACUUAGAAGAUGUAACUGUUGACACAUGAACCCUUAGCUAUAUUUUACAUAAAGGACCAUAAUCUAAGUUGCCAGUGACCUCAAAGGGAUCUCCAGCAGGUGGGAGUCCAGUAACCAGGCUCAAGCAGUUUGCAUUCAGUUGUAUAUUUCCAUUUGGUGGCUGGCGCUAUUCUCUCGCCCACCAUUAGUUUCGCAUGGUAGGUCAUAGCAGAUUGUCUGUCAUACAAUCUAAUAACAACAAUGUAUUGAGACUUUUGAAAUAUUGUUUCUGUCACAGUCUAUCCAUGACCAGUCUUGUGAGUGUGUUGUGGUUUGGCCAGUCUCUCUGUGUGUGGUGUGGGUGUGGUCUUCCCAGGUUCCUGGCUCUCAGCACAGCUGCUGACUAUCUGCCAAUCAAGCCCUGGCUUAAAGACUCUGUACACCGGACUGUCAGUGCCAGAUUGUUGUUCUCACUUCAGUGCGCCUGGGAUCUCCGCUUGCUACACCAUUUGCCACUCCGCCCGCCACGCCAAGGCCACUACUACUGGACCUCUAGUCAACCACGCUAUCUUCGCUCCCGCAGACAAGCUCCGGAUCAUUCGCCGACACUAUUCCACUCAUUGUCUAUAUUAUCAUUAAAACCCUCUUCCGAACCUCA